Molecule: long non-coding RNA, 101 nt
Organism: Etheostoma spectabile (orangethroat darter)
Lineage: Eukaryota; Metazoa; Chordata; Actinopteri; Perciformes; Percidae
Exons: 3
Source: RefSeq, a predicted model, not a curated record
UUGCUGUAUGUGAACAAAUUUUGUAGCCUAAAACACGCAUGACAUCGCUUAGAACACCUUUAAUAAUGAUUUUUAUUUGUUUUCCUAUUAAAUCUAUCCUA